UUAAAUAUAACCAUGAUUAAGUUUUAAUAUACAAGUAAUCAAAUUUUCUUCUAUAAAGGUUUUGCUCACAUAUUUUCUCUUCUUUUGUCACUUAUUUUAUUGCUUGAAAAUUGUUAAGGUAAUAUUAUGUAUGUGCCAUUAUUGAGAAUAUACAUUAAAGAACAAAUGUGGAAAAUUAAAAAGCUCAUAUGCAUAGGUAUACUAAUAUUAUUAUAUCAUACAUACUACUAUUGUUUUCUGUACUAUUUUUACUUCCAUGCUGUGCAUUGCUAUCAUUUCAUACCUUGUAUGCUACUACCAGAAGUCUGAAGUUUCUGAAUCAUGUGCUAUGGUGAAGGAUAUGAAGUGAAAUUAGCUAGAAAGAAUUGAAAAAUUGUGAUAGAAUUUGAGCUCAUCCUUGAAGGAAAGACUCAGAAAAAUCAGCAUUCUUACUUUUUGCACAGCAGCAUAGUCAUGUAGGAGGUGAAUUUUAAAUCACAUCAGAGGUAAAGUAUAGAAUGCCUAUAUAACCCAAAGGCGAUGAAAAUCAAUAAAUAUGAAACAAAAAAGAUAAGCACAAUAUGAAAUCGAUAAAAUAUAACAAAAACUUCAUUUAAUUUUAUUGUGCUUGUAUAAAGGAGAUUGGAUCGCAUAAGUUGAAAAUGGAGAGAAAGAUAUUAUUGUUUGGAUGCAAAAUUCUCUUCUAUAGAAAUAUCAGACAGUUGCAGUUUCUCAUGCUCUGGCCAAAUUGGGGAUGUAAGCAAUCUUGAAUCUGAAACAGUCCUGAAUACUGAAGAAAUCUGGAAUGAAACCCAUAAUAUUCAGGAACACUAUUUCCAUGAUUCCAGUG
Stegodyphus dumicola is the source of this 829-nucleotide long non-coding RNA. The record is from RefSeq and is a predicted model, not a curated record. Lineage: Eukaryota; Metazoa; Arthropoda; Arachnida; Araneae; Eresidae.